AACCGGUUAGUAAUUCUAGAGCUAAUACAUAGCUGUCAUACCUGACUUUUCGGAAGGGUUGAAUUUAUUACAUAUUAAACUAACCCUGGCAACAGGAUAGUGAUGAUUCAUAAUAACUGAGCGGAUCGCGGCCUCGCCGCGACGAAUCGUUCAAGUUUCUGCCCUAUCAGCUUUCGAUGGUAGUGUAUUGGACUACCAUGGCGAUCACGGGUAACGGGGAAUUAGGGUUCGAUUCCGGAGAGGGAGCCUGAGAAAUGGCUACCACAUCUAACGAAGGCAGCAGGCGCGUAAAUUACCCAAUCCUACUUCUCGGAGGUAGUGACAAGAAAUAACAACUCGGGCCCCACUUGGGGCUACGGGAUUGCAAUGACAACAAUUUAAACCACUUAUCGAGUAACAAUUGAAGGGCAAGUCUGGUGCCAUCAUGCGCGCUAAUUCCAGCUCCAAUACCGUAUAUUAAAGUUGUUGCAUUUAAAAAGCUCGUAAUUGAAUUUCUGGACGGCGCUGUUCACAGCUCUCGCAGUCUGUUCAGGAGCCUGGUCAUCCGUAUGGGAAGCUAGCUCGUCCUUCGGUGGUCGGCUAGUGGAUCAUACACUUUACUUUGAAAAAAUUAGAGUGUUUCAGGCAGGCAAUUGCUUGGAUACUGCAGCAUGGAAUAAUGGAAUAGGACUUUGACCUAUUUGCUGGCUUCUUGAGGUCAAAGUAAUGAUUGAUAUGGACAGUUGGGGGCAUCCGUAUUUAAUUGUCAGAGGUGAAAUUCUUGGAUUUAUUAAUGACGAACUUAUGCGAAAGCAUUUGCCAAGGAUGUUUUCAUUAAUCACGAACGAAAGUUAGGGGAUCAAAGGCGAUCAG
This 852-nucleotide ribosomal RNA is filed under the name Steinernema feltiae. RNAcentral's name for it is "SSU rRNA". It matches the Rfam family "Eukaryotic small subunit ribosomal RNA", at positions 145 to 1011 of the family's 1831-position model. Lineage: Eukaryota; Metazoa; Nematoda; Chromadorea; Rhabditida; Steinernematidae. The record is from RNAcentral.